CUUUCUUGUUGCCUAAUCUGGCAGAGGUCCCUUUGCACUUGGGACCAUGUUGUGUGAAACUAAGUUCUGACAUCUUCAGAAAGUAGCUGACCUAGAAAGGUACUCUUCACAAUUUCCACAAAGGGUCAGAUGCCUCUGAUGUUUCCUCUCCAAAAAGAAUAGGGGUGAAAAAAAAAUUAAAGCUGUAAUCUACUUGCUGAAACAUGUUACGAAUAUGCCAAACAACGUAGAAACAUUUUAAUGUGCUGACCACCAGAGCAAAGUAUUUUGCUUAGCCACAUGUGAGCUGGGGAUUAAUUCCAGGUAUUGAAUAUUAUUUAAAGGAACAAUCCAAGCAACAUAAUACUGCAGCUCCCUGCAGUGGUUAUGGUGUUGAAGUCCUCUGGUUCAAUUUCAUAUGUCAAACAAUUUUAGCACAGUUUGAUACUUAUCUGGGUUCUGGGGUCGGUCCUCUCAGAGCUGGAGGUACUGGAUGUUCUAUUUAUUCUAUGCAAGAACCUAUUGGACUCAUUAGUUGACUGAGAGAGUUUAGCCAAUAACCAAAUGCCUUCGUUGACAUCUGACCUCUCCUACUUAAGACAUGAAGCAGCCUGGCAGACCCCAGUAAGAAUCAUACACUGCAGAUUAUGCUGGAAUGGCCCCAGGGCACUCCUGACAUCGUACACACUAUAGAUGGCUACAGUAAUUGUGGUGUUUGGAAUAUUCAUAUAAAGGGAAACUAUG
Pelobates cultripes (western spadefoot toad) is the source of this 723-nucleotide non-coding RNA. The record is from the annotation of a GenBank genome assembly. NCBI's taxonomy places the organism in Eukaryota, Metazoa, Chordata, Amphibia, Anura, Pelobatidae.